AAAUGAAUAGACGGGACCUCGCACAAGCGGUGGAUCAUGUUGUUUAAUUCGAGGAUACGCGAAGAACCUUACCAGGCCUUGACAUCCCUUGCGAAGCUAUAGAGAUAUAGUAGAGGUUAUCAAGGAGACAGGUGGUGCAUGGUUGUCGUCAGCUCGUGUCGUGAGAUGUUGGGUUAAGUCCCGCAACGAGCGCAACUCUUAUCGUUAUUUGCCAUCAUUAAGUUGGGCACUAUAACGAGACUGCCAGUGAUAAAUUGGAGGAAGGUGGGAAUGACGUCAAAUCAUCAUGCCCCUUAUGGCCUGGGCUACAAACGUGAUACAAUGGUUGGAACAAAGGGAGGCAAAGCUGUGAAGCCAAGCGAACCCCAUAAAAACAAUCUCAGUUCGGAUUGAAGUCUGCAACUCGACUUCAUGAAGUCGGAAUCGCUAGUAAUCGUAGAUCAGAACGCUACGGUGAAUACGUUCUCGAGGUUUGCACACACCGCCCGU
Molecule: ribosomal RNA, 489 nt
Filed under: uncultured bacterium
Lineage: Bacteria
Description: bacterial SSU rRNA
Rfam family: Bacterial small subunit ribosomal RNA
Source: RNAcentral